This is a long non-coding RNA of Alexandromys fortis (reed vole), 632 nucleotides long. RefSeq lists it as uncharacterized. NCBI's taxonomy places the organism in Eukaryota, Metazoa, Chordata, Mammalia, Rodentia, Cricetidae. The record is from RefSeq and is a predicted model, not a curated record. The transcript has 4 exons.
CCGCCCAGGCCCUGGCCGCGGGGCCCUAGAGCCCGUCCCCAGCUUCCCGUCGCCCCUCCCGGGACCUCAGAAACUGCCGGGGCUCAGGCUGACGUGUCUCCCUUAGACCCUUGUUUUGUCCUCGGCUGCCUCUGAAUUCCUGACACACUCACCAUUUCUGCCUGAAUGCUUUAGACUCCAUCCGUGGGAUCUGCCUCGGAACUCCUGACCAGAUGACCAGAGCUUGUGCCGAGCUGACAGAAAAUCAUCAACCAGCACAGAAUCCAUCAGCUGGGAGUCUGCUCCAUUUGAAACUCACUGGAGGACUUAGGGACAGACAGAAGCCAGGCUCUGAGCUACCUAAAUUGCCACAGAGCCAGAGAACAAUGGAAGGAACCUGGCCUCUCUGCGACCUGCACAGUUUAUCUCUUUUGGAAUGGGGACUGCAGGCCGGCGGCAGCUCUUACACCAUGAAAGCCACGACAGAAACAGGGCGAUGGGAAAGCCCCACUGUUCUAAUGGUUCCACCACUGGGAAGUUCAGUUUAGAAGGGGGAUCCACACAGGGUAGCCUCCAACAGCAUGUCAAUCCAGCUUCAGCACUCUGGCAUUCUCUUCUGGCCUCAGCGGGCACCUGAACUCAUCCGUACCAUC